UACGGAGGAUCCAAGCGUUAUCCGGAAUCAUUGGGUUUAAAGGGUCCGUAGGCGGUCUUUUAAGUCAGAGGUGAAAUCCUACAGCUCAACUGUAGAAUUGCCUUUGAUACUGAAAGACUUGAGUUAUUGUGAAGUAGUUAGAAUGUGUGGUGUAGCGGUGAAAUGCAUAGAGAUCACACAGAAUACCGAUUGCGAAGGCAGAUUACUAACAAUAUACUGACGCUCAUGGACGAAAGCGUGGGGAGCGAACAGG
RNAcentral lists this ribosomal RNA (253 nucleotides) under uncultured bacterium. RNAcentral describes it as "partial 16S ribosomal RNA". It matches the Rfam family "Bacterial small subunit ribosomal RNA", at positions 524 to 776 of the family's 1533-position model. The record is from RNAcentral.